Molecule: long non-coding RNA, 653 nt
Filed under: Capsella grandiflora
Lineage: Eukaryota; Viridiplantae; Streptophyta; Magnoliopsida; Brassicales; Brassicaceae
Description: long non-coding RNA (CGRA_LNC001548)
Source: RNAcentral
AUAGCUCCCUUCCUCAUCAUCACCAGAACCAGAACGGUUCCUGCGCUGCUCAUUAUCAUCAUCAUCAUCGUCAUUGCGACGACCAUAGCUAGGCUUCCUGUAACUCCCCUCUUCCUGUUCCUCAGACCUUCCAUAGCUAGGCUUCCUGUAACUCCCUUCCUCCUGAUCCUCAGAUCUUCCAUAGCUAGGCUUAAUGUAACUCUCCACCUGUUCCUCAGACCCUCCAUAACUUGGUUUCCUGUAACUACCUUCCUCCUGAUCCUCAGAUCUCCCAUAGCUAGGCUUCCUGUAACCUUCCUCUUGAUCCUCAGAUCUCCCAUAGCUAGGCUUCCUGUAACCUUCCUCUUGUUCCUCAGAUCUUCCAUAGCUAGGCUUCCUGUAGCCUUCCUCUUGAUCCUCAGAUCUUCCAUAGCUAGGCUUCCUGUAACUUCCUUCUUCCUGAUCCUCAGAUCUUCCAUAGCUAGGUUUCUUGUAACCUUCCUCUUGUUCCUCAGACCUUCCAUAGCUAGGCUUCCUGUAACCUUCUUCUUGUUCCUCAGACCUACCAUAGCUAGGCUUACGCUCAUACUCAGACUCUGAUCUGCCACCAUAUCCAGAUCCAAGACCCGAUUCAGGUCUCCUCCCAUACUCAACCUCAGUUCUUCCACCACCAG